This 145-nucleotide ribosomal RNA is filed under the name uncultured bacterium. RNAcentral's name for it is "partial 16S ribosomal RNA". It matches the Rfam family "Bacterial small subunit ribosomal RNA", at positions 595 to 739 of the family's 1533-position model. The record is from RNAcentral.
UGAAACCCGUCGGCUUAACCGACGGCCUGCUUCUGAAACUGCAUAGCUUGAGUGCAGGAGAGGGAAGUGGAAUUCCGUCACAUGCGGUGAAAUGCGUAGAUAUUGGGAGGAACACCAGUGGCGAAAGCGGCUUCCUGGCCUGUAA